GAUGAACGCUAGCGGCAGGCCUAACACAUGCAAGUCGAGGGAGAAGCCCUUUCGGGGGUGGAAACCGGCGCACGGGUGCGUAACGCGUAUGCAACCUACCUUUCACAGGGGGAUAGCCCGAAGAAAUUUGGAUUAAUACCCCAUAAUAUUAUUGGAUGGCAUCAUUUGAUAAUUAAAACUGCGGUGGUGAAAGAUGGGCAUGCGUCCUAUUAGCUAGUUGGAGUGGUAACGGCACCCCAAGGCUACGAUAGGUAGGGGUCCUGAGAGGGAGAUCCCCCACACUGGUACUGAGACAGGGACCAGACUCCUACGGGAGGCAGCAGUGAGGAAUAUUGGUCAAUGGUCGGAAGACUGAACCAGCCAUGCCGCGUGCAGGAAGAAUGCCUUAUGGGUUGUAAACUGCUUUUAUAUGGGAAGAAUAAGGCGUACGUGUACGUUGAUGACGGUACCAUAUGAAUAAGCAU
Molecule: ribosomal RNA, 464 nt
Filed under: Capnocytophaga gingivalis
Lineage: Bacteria; Pseudomonadati; Bacteroidota; Flavobacteriia; Flavobacteriales; Flavobacteriaceae
Description: bacterial SSU rRNA
Rfam family: Bacterial small subunit ribosomal RNA
Source: RNAcentral